AUUCCCUAAACAAUGCAGUAUAACAGCUAUUUUCAUAGCAUUUACAUUGUAUUAGAUAUUAUAAGUAAUCUAGAGAUGAUUUAAAGUAUACGGGAGGACGUGCAUGGGUUAUUGUGCAUCGGGAUCGAAAAAAAUCGGAAGUUUUCUUACUAAGCAAGUCCGAACAGGGGGAUGCAGCCAAACUGUGGAGGGCCAGCCAGUGUGCAGAGAGCUGUCAAGGUGGAAUGUGGUUGCAGUGAGUAUUAGUUAGAGGCAUGCAGGCUUCCGUGUGUAGGUGGCUUGCAAUCUUAGCCCUGGGACAAUGGGAAGCAAUCUCGAGAACAGAUCCUCUGCGGGCAAAGUGAGACCAAGUGCUUUUGUGGAGUCAGAAGGAGACUUCCGCUCUUAUUACCUCGUAAAUAUACGAGAACCACCUGCAGUUCCUCUUGUAUAUCUACAGUCCAGCAAUCAGGCCAAUUUACCCAUGUUCACCUUAAGGUUGCGGUCUCCCUUUUUAAAAAAAAUUAUCCAUUUAUGAGGUAUUUAUUGCACAUUCCUUACACUUGUUUUCUAACAAAUAAACUAACCAAAAUACUAUAUAAAAAAUUGCAAG
This is a long non-coding RNA of Hypanus sabinus (Atlantic stingray), 592 nucleotides long. RefSeq lists it as uncharacterized. NCBI's taxonomy places the organism in Eukaryota, Metazoa, Chordata, Chondrichthyes, Myliobatiformes, Dasyatidae. The record is from RefSeq and is a predicted model, not a curated record. The transcript is spliced from 3 exons.